Molecule: long non-coding RNA, 379 nt
Organism: Herpailurus yagouaroundi (jaguarundi)
Lineage: Eukaryota; Metazoa; Chordata; Mammalia; Carnivora; Felidae
Exons: 3
Source: RefSeq, a predicted model, not a curated record
GCGAGAUCAUGACCUGAGCUGAAGUCAGACGCUUAACCGACGGAGCCACCCAGGUGCCCCUGGGCUCUUCUUUUUCAUUGGUUCAUUCACCUAUUCAUCAGGGUGCCAUCUGGAGGCAGGCAUCAGCCAGGAGCAAACUAAGUCCUUGCCCUCAGCAGCUCAAAGUUUAGUGGUGGAAGGAGAGGACAACCGGACAAACACCAGUGCAGGAGUGAACCAAAAUCUUCACCCUGGUGUGGCUUGCUACUCUAGCAGUAAAAACAGGCCCUCCACAAGCCCCACGGCAGGGGUGGUGAUUCCGUAGAACUACUCUGUAGGGUUGCCACGAGGAUUCAAUGACACACAUGAGGCACUCAGCUCCAAGCCCAGCGCUGUGUAA